This 72-nucleotide transfer RNA is filed under the name Selaginella moellendorffii. It matches the Rfam family "tRNA". Rfam says of the family: Transfer RNA (tRNA) molecules are approximately 80 nucleotides in length. Their secondary structure includes four short double-helical elements and three loops (D, anti-codon, and T loops). Further hydrogen bonds mediate the characteristic L-shaped molecular structure. tRNAs have two regions of fundamental functional importance: the anti-codon, which is responsible for specific mRNA codon recognition, and the 3' end, to which the tRNAs corresponding amino acid is attached (by aminoacyl-tRNA synthetases). tRNAs cope with the degeneracy of the genetic code in two manners: having more than one tRNA (with a specific anti-codon) for a particular amino acid; and 'wobble' base-pairing, i.e. permitting non-standard base-pairing at the 3rd anti-codon position. Lineage: Eukaryota; Viridiplantae; Streptophyta; Lycopodiopsida; Selaginellales; Selaginellaceae. The record is from Rfam by way of RNAcentral.
GGAUCCGUGGCGCAAUGGUAGCGUGUUUGACUCAAGAUCAAAAGGUUGCGCUUUCAAUUUGCAUCAGGUUCA